CCGUCCCGCGGGGCGAAGCGCUCCGUGCGGAGGCUCCGCGACCGCCCCCGCAGCCCCCGCCCUGUCGCGCUCGGGUUACCCUCCGCCUGCGAGCCUCUCCUGUUACGAUGCCCGCGGCGGGCGGGAGGGGAGGGAGCCGGGCCCGGGGGGGCCGAGCCCCGUCGAGAAGGGAAGGAACGCGGCCCCGCGGCUCGCCUCCGAGGAGCGCGCAGGGUGGGAGCUCCACUCCGCCGGCAGCUCCGGGGCUUUCCAAGCCGCCGGUAAGGCAAGAGCACACUGAACAGCACACAUUGCAACAUUGACUCUUGCAGAACUCUACACCAUCCAGCACCUCCCUCCAUUGCCUGCUUUAUGUGUUUGUGAACUGAAAAGGUAUUAUCUCCAGUAUCACCUCAUUUCUCCUCCAAUGACUGAUGAAUUUACAUCCCAAGACUGUGCUGAACAUGUUGGAAAAAUUGACAAAAACAGAUCCUGAGAUUAGUAGGAGCCUUGGAGAACAUCAAGGAACUGCUACUGUGUAUCUGAACUUCUGCUUGCAGGAGACUGCAAAACUGAGGAUGUUUUUCUGUGUAUGCUGCCUGUGGACAUGAGGACUAGUCACUGAAGCCAGUGGUAACAGCAGAUGCUCAGCAUCUCUGACAACUGGGCCACAUGCUUAUGUGAGACCUUGUUAUUAUACAAAAAGGCUCUUAUUCCUACUCUUUUUUAUCUCUGCCAUAUAAGCUGACCUAGUUUACAAUCUGCCUCUGUACAGAUGUGUGCUCUUCCAUGGGCAGAAAGAGGGUGGAACCAUUGCCAACCAAGAGUGCCUGGAGUUAGAACGGGAAGAGACACAGGGCAACUCAGGAUGGGGAGAUAAAGAGAAGGAAAUGAAAGACAAAGAUGUUUGGAGGAAAGGAGAGAGAAAUAGGGAGAGAAAGGAGUGAAGCUGUAUCUGCUGCUCCUGCUUUAUCCAGGAGACAUAGGAGUUACUCAGAGUCUUUGCUUUGGGACCCUGUCAGUAUAUGGGAGCCUGGUUUCAGUGAGGCAGAGUUUUUUAUUGUUAUGCAGUGAACCUUCAAAUGGAGAAUAAUUCAAAGAGGAUACUUCUUCCUGUUAGAAUUUUUUUCAGGCUGCUGUUUACAGCCCAGCACACUAUUCUUGUUCUCUGUGAGCUCUAAAAUAUCCUGAGACCAAUGCAGAAUAAAGAAAGGAAGGAAAAUUCUGUGAUAAUGAUGCUGAAUCUGCCAGGCACUUUUAUAUCAUGUAUUAAAUGAAAUGCAGUCCUGAAAAGUGAUGUUUGAUAUGGUAGUCUCCACACUGAAUUCUACUGAAUAUGAAAAAUGAGUUUUGCUUAGGAUGCAGAUUUUUUAAGGGUCUUAGACUGGCUGUCAGAAAUUUUGUGAUUAAAUUAAUUUUCCUUUUCUUGUGGUUCUGGUUAUUUCUCUGACUGCAGGAAAACAUGCAGAUGAGCUGGAUGAGAGAAUGCACCAGCUUUUAAUAAUA
Molecule: long non-coding RNA, 1485 nt
Organism: Corvus hawaiiensis (hawaiian crow)
Lineage: Eukaryota; Metazoa; Chordata; Aves; Passeriformes; Corvidae
Exons: 3
Source: RefSeq, a predicted model, not a curated record